AUAUCCGAUGGCCGGCGCUUGCUUGUCUUGCGUCGUGCUCUGACGGAUGCUUUUAUUAGACCAAGCCGCUGAGGACUUGAGCUCUCUGCGUCGUUCGCCACACUCAUGUGUGGUGGCUUCGCAAGCUCCUGUUCGACUCGUGUCAUGGUGACUCUGGAUAACCAAAAUUCUGACAAGCGCACGUACCCCUCUUCUGAGCGGGACGGCGCUGCCACUUUCGAGUGUCUGCCUUAUCAGCUAUCAACCGUUCGUUAUGCGCGACCGAUGGCUUUGACGGGUAACGGGGAAUCAGGGUUCGAUUCCGGAGAGGCAGCCUGAGAGACGGCUACCACGUCCAAGGACGGCAGCAGGCACGCAAAUUACCCAAUCCCAGCAAAUGGGGGAGGUAGUGACGAAAUCUAACGAUGCGGGCGCCCUUUCUGGGGCCCCGCAAUCGGAAUGGGCACUUUCUAAACAACCUGUUGAGAACCUACUGAAGGGCAAGUCUGGUGCCAGCAGCCGCGGUAAUUCCAGCUUCAGCAGCAUCUAUUAAAGUUGCUGCGGUUAAAAGGCUCGCAGUUGAAUGUCUGUAUCGAGCGCAGGUCAGGUGGACGUUGGGGCGUGGAAGCACGGGCGGUUGGAUGCUGAACGCGCGUUGUGUGGGUCUCGCACUCGCCGCGCGCCUCUCUCCUUCUGCUUUUCCACAAACCCCCGUCCGUGACAAGCCUCCUCGCUCGGGUACAUAACGGGAAUCGGUCAAACGGAGUGUGGAAGAGAGAGCUCUCGGUUUUCGUGUUUUCUGGGCAGAGUUUAUCUCACUCGUGGGUGUGCUCUUCUCGGUUGCGCGCGGGCCGGUGCUUUUUCUCGACCACGUUAAGCUCCAUCGGUUUCACAGUCACCUUGAGUAAAUCAGAGUGCUCAAAGCAGUCGUAGGGGCCUUGCGCCCUGUGAACAGUCUUGACGGACUGACUUGGUUUUGCAUGGCAUGUCGAAAGACGACGUCGUGUGCUGGCUCAGAGGAUAAAUCAGUGGUACAAGCCAGCCUCGACGUAAUGAUUAAAAGGGACGGUCGAGGGCAUUGGUAUUGCGAGGCGAGAGGUGAAAUUCUGUGACCCCCGCAAGACCUCCUGAAGCGAAAGCGUCUGCCAAGGACGUUUUCAUUAAUCAUGAACGAAAGUUAGAGGAUCGAAGGCGAUCAGAUACCGCCCUAGUUCUAACCCUAAACGAUGCCAACCAUCAAUCCGCGCGUAGCACCCUUCUUAACGGGCUCGGCGGGCAGCUCCCCACUCACGGGAAACCAGAGCCUCUGGGUUCCGGGGGGAGUCUGGUUGCAAAGCUGAAACUUAAAGGAAUUGACGGAAAGGCACCACCAGGCGUGGAGCCUGCGGCUUAAUUUGACUCAACACGGGCCAUCUCACCAGGCCAGCACUCUUGUACGAUUGACAGAUUGAGAGCUCUUUCUCGAUUCAGUGGAUGGUGGUGCAUGGCCGUUCUUAGUUGGUGGAGUGAUCUGUCUGGUUAAUUCCGAUAACGAACGAGACUCUCCCCUGCUAACUAGUCGGUUGGAUCUUGAUCUACCGGGUUGCGUGCCGAGUAACUCUCGCUGUGGGUGUGGUGCAUGUGUGUGUGUGUGCGCGCGCGUGCACGCUCGCUGCUUCUGUGGCUUGCGUGUUUCGUGUGUGUGUGCGCGCAUGUGUGUGUCCGCGCACGCGGUGUUGGAUGCCUUGGAUCACACUGCACCCCAAGUCCGCCGCUUAUGCUAUAACUCUUCUUAGAGGGAUUCACGGCACUGAAGCCGUAAGAGACUGAGAGCAAUAACAGGUCUGUGAUGCCCUUAGAUGCUCUGGGCCGCACGCGCGCUACAAUGCCGGGCACAGCAGGUGUUUCUCCUGCUCCGACAGGAGCGGGUAACCCUCUGAAAGCCAGUGUUCUUUUGCAAGUGCAAUCUCCCUCGUGGAGUUGCACAGAGGCGUGCUUGGGCCUGGGACUUGCAAUUCUUUCCCACCAACGAGGAAUGCCUAGUAGCGGCGGGUCACUGAGCCCGCCGUGACUCAGUCCCUGCCCUUUGUACACACCGCCCGUCGCUACUACCGAUUGGGUGUACCAGUGAGAGCCUUGGACUGGCGUCCGUUGUCACUCUCUCAA
RNAcentral lists this ribosomal RNA (2124 nucleotides) under Rhipidogammarus rhipidiophorus. RNAcentral's name for it is "partial 18S ribosomal RNA". It matches the Rfam family "Eukaryotic small subunit ribosomal RNA", at positions 174 to 1733 of the family's 1831-position model. The record is from RNAcentral. Lineage: Eukaryota; Metazoa; Arthropoda; Malacostraca; Amphipoda; Gammaridae.